AAACCUUUUGGAAUGCUGAUUGAGAUCAUAAGGCACUUCAGUACCUGCUCAUCCUUUAGCUGACUGUCCAAGUUGAGUACAGGGCCACUCAACCUUCUCUACAGACAUGUAGUAGUCCAUGCUGAAUUUAGUUUGCCAGAAAUACUCAGCUUGGAGAAAGUGGGGUGCUUUAAGAUUUGUGUAUCUGCAAGCCAACAGGAAUACCACCAGUAUUCUUGAAUUCCGACCAAACAAUGCUUGACCAGUUGACACAAAGACAGUGUAAAUCUCGUAUCUGAGACACUAGCAAAACAAUUCUGAAAGAGAAGCAACAUCUUUCCCUUCUUGUGCUGGACCCUCUGCAUGGGUCUGCUUAGUGUUCUUAGCUAUUCUGAUGGAACAUCCUGAGAGUCUUGUGGGUAGCUGUUCCAGCUUUGACCUUGAAGCACAGCCCCAGUGAGGCAGCU
Peromyscus maniculatus bairdii (prairie deer mouse) is the source of this 446-nucleotide non-coding RNA. The record is from RefSeq and is a predicted model, not a curated record. NCBI's taxonomy places the organism in Eukaryota, Metazoa, Chordata, Mammalia, Rodentia, Cricetidae.